AAGUCGUAACAAGGUUUCCGUAGGUGAACCUGCGGAAGGAUCAUUAGUGGAAAGACUUGUCUUACCAUUUUCAACUUAACCCGUGAACCAUUUAACUUGGUAGUUCCAGAGCUGAGUUCUUGCAUAGUCCGUGGACUAUGUUAGAGGGUAUCUUUGGCCGACUUGUAGUUUGUAGUUUCUGUGACUCUUUAGGUGAUACUAUUAGUCUACGUUAUUGCUUCUGCUUUUUGGAAUCCUGACAUCAUUUCUUUCAGGUUUGGCUACUGUAUGCUUAUAGACACCGUGAGUGAUGCUUUUGUAGUUAUUUUUUAUUGCCUAAGUCAAACACAUUAGUAAUAAUGUAAAGACAACCUUUGACAAUGGAUCUCUUGGCUCCU
RNAcentral lists this unclassified non-coding RNA (377 nucleotides) under fungal sp. RNAcentral's name for it is "partial internal transcribed spacer region". The stretch from base 1 to 46 matches the Rfam family "Eukaryotic small subunit ribosomal RNA", at positions 1786 to 1831 of the family's 1831-position model. Lineage: Eukaryota; Fungi. The record is from RNAcentral.